UCAGGACAUAUCCUAACUCGCGCAGAUAUAUAAAACUUCCACCCAAAAUUUACUGAAUUCAGAAAUCGUAAAAUUUUACGUCAGCGGGUAAAAUUUCUACUUGUUUUUCCAAAAGCGAGAAUAAUCCAAAACUCGUCAUUCUGAAUUUGCAUAAACCUUCUCAUACAUAAAAGAGGAUUACAGCCCAAAAGUCUGUGCCUUUUCAGCGCACGAGUACAAAACAGACUUAAACUCAGCCAAAAAUGCCGUUAUUACAACGAUACAUACAAAACGACUUAAACAAAAACCCUAAAACUUUUAUCCAAUAUUUAUUUUCCUUACACAAAAUAAACUGUGAAAUUACGGGUCUUACAUA
RNAcentral lists this long non-coding RNA (355 nucleotides) under Trifolium pratense (red clover). RNAcentral's name for it is "long non-coding RNA (TPRA_LNC005755)". Lineage: Eukaryota; Viridiplantae; Streptophyta; Magnoliopsida; Fabales; Fabaceae. The record is from RNAcentral.